This 70-nucleotide transfer RNA is filed under the name Argas persicus. RNAcentral describes it as "tRNA-Lys". It matches the Rfam family "tRNA". From Rfam's summary of the family: Transfer RNA (tRNA) molecules are approximately 80 nucleotides in length. Lineage: Eukaryota; Metazoa; Arthropoda; Arachnida; Ixodida; Argasidae. The record is from RNAcentral.
UUAUUGAAUGGCUGAAAAGAAAGCAAUGGUCUCUUAAACCAAACUAUAGUACACGUAUACUUUCAAUAAA